AAUCACAGGGAUCUCCAUGGCCUGUUUAACGAUGGCGCCCCGCCAUCGUUCAAAUGUCAUGCGCCAUCGUCAAAUGACUCGCGCCAUCGUUAAAUUGUCUUGCGCCAUCGUAAAAUGACUUCCGCCAUCGUUCAAAACUUCAUCUUUUUUUGUAGCCCGACGCCAUUUUUUUUUAUCAAGUAUAAUCAAAUGCAUGUAAUUGCAUAACCCUUAGGCUUUUAAUGUUAUAAUCCAAUACAGUUCUAACGCCUGAGGAGUAUACGGAUUAAGAUCGCUAAUCACUUGUACCUGAGCUUGUACAGGUAGAUCAACAAACCAGACACGAGAAUACUAUCAGAGGAUAGACGAUUCAUUUGUCGAAAUAAUCAACUAAGUUUUAGCAAAUGAUUAUGAUAAUUUAGAUUAAAUAAAUAAAUUAAUAAUCCAGUUACAAAGAAAACAGUUUAACAAGUGGAACACGUGCUUUGUUUUGACUUACGCAAUCAGCAUCCCCCUUUUUUAAGAAGUACAAAAUAAGACGCAAAACAGUAAAUAUUAUUUCAUCGCAAAUAACUCGAUUACUGCUGUAACGAUAAUUUAGAAUUACUUUAAAAGUUUAAAAGGAAAAACUUUAAAUAUUUCCUGUAAAGAAAUAUCGUAUCGUAAUUCCGAAUUCAUUUCGUAUAUUACAAUCAAAUUGAUACAUCCGCGUUUCCGGUUUCUAUUCAGACUCGAAAGAUACAUGUUGCACAGCAUCAAUUUGCCAGAUAAAGUCAUUAAAAACCUUUUCAUUUGUCAACGUUUGCUUUACAAAUCUCUUUAACCUUUUACAUAACCCGUACGAAUUGUUUUGUUGUUGCUGCAAAUCACCCAUACCGGUAAUGGGUUCUGAAUUUGACAGUGUCCAUGAAAAAUUAGCUCCACAUCAUUUGAUUUUUAACCCCUAUAACAAUAACCAAAUAUACAAGAAAUCUACAUGGGGACCUUCAUGACAGCUUUUGGUCAUUCUCGACUAAGGGGGGACCAUGAAGACUUGGCAUUUGAAUGGUUUAAAAACGGCAAUAAAUGAAAAUAUUGAUACUUCUAAUUCUAUAAGGAAAAUUCAAAUAAAUAUAAUUUAAAUAAGCAAUGAAUUAGCAUGUACACC
RNAcentral lists this long non-coding RNA (1126 nucleotides) under Mytilus galloprovincialis (Mediterranean mussel). The record is from RNAcentral. Lineage: Eukaryota; Metazoa; Mollusca; Bivalvia; Mytilida; Mytilidae.